UGGUGGAGUGAUUUGUCUGGUUAAUUCCGUUAACGAACGAGACCUCGACCUGCUAACUAGCUUGCGUUCAUGGUUCACAUGGGUAAGCUUCUUAGAGGGACUUUGGCAUUGAAGGCUACAGGAAGUUCGAGGCAAUAACA
RNAcentral lists this ribosomal RNA (140 nucleotides) under uncultured eukaryote. RNAcentral's name for it is "partial 18S ribosomal RNA". It matches the Rfam family "Eukaryotic small subunit ribosomal RNA", at positions 1299 to 1458 of the family's 1831-position model. The record is from RNAcentral.